This 254-nucleotide ribosomal RNA is filed under the name uncultured bacterium. RNAcentral describes it as "partial 16S ribosomal RNA". It matches the Rfam family "Bacterial small subunit ribosomal RNA", at positions 524 to 776 of the family's 1533-position model. The record is from RNAcentral.
UACAGAGGUCUCAAGCGUUGUUCGGAUUCAUUGGGCGUAAAGGGUGCGUAGGUGGCGGGGCAAGUUUGGUGUGAAAUCCCGGGGCUCAACCCCGGAACUGCACUGAAUACUGCUUUGCUUGAGCACUGGAGAGGGAACUGGAAUUUACGGUGUAGCAGUGAAAUGCGUAGAUAUCGUAAGGAAGACCAGUGGCGAAGGCGAGUUCCUGGACAGUUGCUGACACUGAGGCACGAAGGCUAGGGGGAGCAAACGGG